Molecule: ribosomal RNA, 206 nt
Filed under: uncultured bacterium
Lineage: Bacteria
Description: partial 16S ribosomal RNA
Rfam family: Bacterial small subunit ribosomal RNA
Source: RNAcentral
UGCGUAGGUGGUCGGGUAAGUCUGCUGUGAAAUCCCGCAGCUCAACUGCGGAACUGCAUUGGAAACUAUCCGACUAGAGGAAUGGAGGGGAGACUGGAAUUCUCGGUGUAGCAGUGAAAUGCGUAGAUAUCGAGAGGAACACCAGUGGCGAAGGCGAGUCUCUGGACAUUUCCUGACGCUGGGGCACGAAAGCCAGGGAGCAAACG